Molecule: ribosomal RNA, 440 nt
Filed under: uncultured bacterium
Lineage: Bacteria
Description: partial 16S ribosomal RNA
Rfam family: Bacterial small subunit ribosomal RNA
Source: RNAcentral
CCUACGGGUGGCAGCAGUAGGGAAUAUUGCUCAAUGGGGGAAACCCUGAAGCAGCAACGCCGCGUGGAGGAUGAAGGUUUUCGGAUUGUAAACUCCUUUUGUUAGAGAAGAUAAUGACGGUAUCUAACGAAUCAGCCCCGGCUAACUCCGUGCCAGCCGCCGCGGUAAUACGGAGGGUGCAAGCGUUACUCGGAAUCACUGGGCGUAAAGAGCGCGUAGGCGGGAUAGCAAGUCAGAUGUGAAAUCCUAGGGCUUAACCAUAGAACUGCAUUUGAAACUGUUAUUCUAGAGUAUGGGAGAGGUAGGUGGAAUUCUUGGUGUAGGGGUAAAAUCCGUAGAGAUCAAGAGGAAUACUCAUUGCGAAGGCGACCUGCUAGAACAUAACUGACGCUGAUGCGCGAAAGCGUGGGGAGCAAACAGGAUUAGAUACCCCAGUAGUC